ACUGGAUAGGAAGUUUUAAGGCAUCUUGGAAACUUUUAAAGACCCGCAAGGGUAUGCUAAGAGAUGGGCUUGCGGCACAUUAGUUAGUUGGUAAGGUAACGGCUUACCAAGACUAUGAUGUGUAGCUGGACUGAGAGGUUGAACGGCCACAUUGGGAUUGAGAUACGGCCCAAACUCCUACGGGAGGCAGCAGUAAGGAAUUUUCGGCAAUGGAGGAAACUCUGACCGAGCAACGCCGCGUGAACGAUGAAAUAUUUAGGUAUGUAAAGUUCUUUUAUUAAAGAAGAAAAAAUGAUGGAAAAAUCAUUCUGACGGUAUUUAAUGAAUAAGCCCCGGCUAACUAUGUGCCAGCAGCUGCGGUAAUACAUGGGGGGCAAGCGUUAUCCGGAUUUAUUGGGCGUAAAGGGUGUGUAGGCGGUUUAAUAAGUCUAUGGUAUAAGUUCAACGCUUAACGUUGUGAUGCUAUGGAAACUGUUUGACUAGAGUUGGAUAGAGGCAAGUGGAAUUCCAUGUGUAGCGGUAAAAUGCGUAAAUAUAUGGAGGAACACCAGUAGCGAAGGCGGCUUGCUGGGUCUUAACUGACGCUGAGGCACGAAAGCGUGGGGAGCAAACAGGAUUAGAUACCCUGGUAGUCCACGCCGUAAACGAUGAGUACUAAGUGUUGGGUUAAACCAGUGCUGAAGUUAACACAUUAAGUACUCCGCCUGAGUAGUACGUACGCAAGUAUGAAACUUAAAGGAAUUGACGGGACUCCGCACAAGCGGUGGAUCAUGUUGUUUAAUUCGAAGAUACACGAAAAACCUUACCAGGUCUUGACAUACUCUGCAAAGCUAUAGAAAUAUAGUGGAGGUUAUCAGGGAUACAGGUGGUGCAUGGUUGUCGUCAGCUCGUGUCGUGAGAUGUUGGGUUAAGUCCCGCAACGAGCGCAACCCUUAUCGCUAGUUACCAUCAUUUAGUUGGGCACUUUAGUGAGACUGCCAAUGAUAAAUUGGAGGAAGGUGGGGAUUACGUCAAAUCAUCAUGCCCCUUAUGACCUGGGCUACAAACGUGAUACAAUGGCUGUUACAAAGAGUAGCUGAAGCGUGAGUUUUUAGCAAAUCUCAAAAAAACAGUCUCAGUUCGGAUUGAAGUCUGCAACUCGACUUCAUGAAGUCGGAAUCGCUAGUAAUCGCGAAUCAGCAUGUCGUGGUGAAUACGUUCUCGGGGUUUGUACACACCGCCCGUCAAACCAUGAAAGUUGACAAUACUCGAAACCAGUAGCCUAACUUGCAAAAGAGGGAACUGUCUAAGGUAGGGUCGAUGAUUGGGGUUAAGUCGUAACAAGGUAUCCCUACCGGAAGGUGGGGAUGGAUCACCUCCUUUCUA
RNAcentral lists this ribosomal RNA (1365 nucleotides) under Candidatus Phytoplasma mali. Its description in RNAcentral is "bacterial SSU rRNA". It matches the Rfam family "Bacterial small subunit ribosomal RNA", at positions 168 to 1533 of the family's 1533-position model. Lineage: Bacteria; Bacillati; Mycoplasmatota; Mollicutes; Acholeplasmatales; Acholeplasmataceae. The record is from RNAcentral.